RNAcentral lists this non-coding RNA (672 nucleotides) under Drosophila virilis. RNAcentral's name for it is "Eukaryotic large subunit ribosomal RNA". It matches the Rfam family "Eukaryotic large subunit ribosomal RNA", at positions 1 to 639 of the family's 3401-position model. Lineage: Eukaryota; Metazoa; Arthropoda; Insecta; Diptera; Drosophilidae. The record is from Rfam by way of RNAcentral.
CAACCUCAACUCAUAUGGGACUACCCCCUGAAUUUAAGCAUAUUAAUUAGGGGAGGAAAAGAAACUAACAAGGAUUUUCUUAGUAGCGGCGAGCGAAAAGAAAUCAGUUCAGCACUAAGUCACUUUGUCUAUAUGGCAAAUGUGUACGGAACAUCAACAUUCUAGUAUGAGAAGUUAACGAUUUAAGUCCUUCUUAAAUGAGGCCAUUUACCCAUAGAGGGUGCCAGGCCCGUAUAACGUUAAUGAUUACUAGAUGGUGUUUCCAAAGAGUCGUGUUGCUUGAUAGUGCAGCACUAAGUGGGUGGUAAACUCCAUCUAAAACUAAAUAUAACCAUGAGACCGAUAGUAAACAAGUACCGUGAGGGAAAGUUGAAAAGAACUCUGAAUAGAGAGUUAAAUAGUACGUGAAACUGCUUAGAGGUUAAGCCCGAUGAACCUGAAUAUCCGUUAUGGAAAAUUCAUCAUUAGAAUUGUAAUAUUUUAAACAAUAUUAUAAUAAUAGUGUGCAUUUUUUCCAUAUAAAGACAUUGUAAUCUAUUAGCAUAAAUAUUUAUCAUAAAAUUAUGUCUGAUUGCUUAUUUGAAUUAUAUGCUUGGCAUUUUAACAUAAAAUAAAAGAUAUAAAUUUGAUAAAGUGCUGAUAGAUUUAUAUGAUUACAGUGCGUUAAAUUUU